Molecule: ribosomal RNA, 510 nt
Filed under: uncultured Glomus
Lineage: Eukaryota; Fungi; Glomeromycota; Glomeromycetes; Glomerales; Glomeraceae
Description: SSU rRNA
Rfam family: Eukaryotic small subunit ribosomal RNA
Source: RNAcentral
AGCAGCCGCGGUAAUUCCAGCUCCAAUAGCGUAUAUUAAAGUUGUUGCAGUUAAAAAGCUCGUAGUUGAACCUCGGGGUCUACCCAUUGGUCAGGCUUAAUUGUCUGCACUGGUGAGAUGGAUCUCUACCUUCUGAGGAACUUUCAUGCCAUUUAUUUGGUGUGAUGGGAAAUCAGGACUGUUACUUUGAAAAAAUUAGAGUGUUUAAAGCAGACUAUCGUCUGAAUACAUUAGCAUGGAAUAAUGAAAUAGGACGGACUGAUUCUAUUUCGUUGGUUUCUAGGAUCACCGUAAUGAUUAAUAGGGAUAGUUGGGGGCAUUAGUAUUCAAUUGUCAGAGGUGAAAUUCUUGGAUUUAUUGAAGACUAACUACUGCGAAAGCAUUUGCCAAGGAUGUUUUCAUUAAUCAAGAACGAAAGUUAGGGGAUCGAAGACGAUCAGAUACCGUCGUAGUCUUAACCAUAAACUAUGCCGACUAGGGAUCGGACGAAGUUAAUUUUAUAAUGACGCG